RNAcentral lists this ribosomal RNA (292 nucleotides) under uncultured bacterium. RNAcentral's name for it is "partial 16S ribosomal RNA". It matches the Rfam family "Bacterial small subunit ribosomal RNA", at positions 505 to 796 of the family's 1533-position model. The record is from RNAcentral.
GUGUCAGCAGCCGCGGUAAUACGAAGGGGGCUAGCGUUGUUCGGAUUUACUGGGCGUAAAGCGCACGUAGGCGGAUUGUUAAGUCGGGGGUGAAAUCCUGGAGCUCAACUCCAGAAUUGCCUUCGAUACUGGCUUUCUAGAGGCUGGAAGAGGUUAGUGGAAUUCCCAGUGUAGAGGUGAAAUUCGUAGAUAUUGGGAAGAACACCAGUGGCGAAGGCGGCUAACUGGUCCAGAUCUGACGCUGAGGUGCGAAAGCGUGGGGAGCAAACAGGAUUAGAUACCCCCGUAGUCC